Molecule: non-coding RNA, 218 nt
Organism: Pelobates cultripes (western spadefoot toad)
Lineage: Eukaryota; Metazoa; Chordata; Amphibia; Anura; Pelobatidae
Source: the annotation of a GenBank genome assembly
CUGGGGAUGGAGGCAGGAAUAAAAACUCUAGACAUUUGGGUUGCUGUGCAGGGGAUGAAAUAAGGGAUAUAACAUUUUGCUUUGAGAUGAAUAGGGCAGAUAUUGGUUUGCUAAAGUCAAAUAAGGAUUUUUUUUUUACUCAGCAGCCACACAACUUGAACAGAUCUUACUUUUCUUCUCCCUGCUGUUUGGUUGAAAACCCACAGGUAGAUUGUUGC